RNAcentral lists this transfer RNA (77 nucleotides) under Candidatus Pelagibacter communis. Its description in RNAcentral is "tRNA-Met". It matches the Rfam family "tRNA". From Rfam's summary of the family: Transfer RNA (tRNA) molecules are approximately 80 nucleotides in length. Their secondary structure includes four short double-helical elements and three loops (D, anti-codon, and T loops). Further hydrogen bonds mediate the characteristic L-shaped molecular structure. tRNAs have two regions of fundamental functional importance: the anti-codon, which is responsible for specific mRNA codon recognition, and the 3' end, to which the tRNAs corresponding amino acid is attached (by aminoacyl-tRNA synthetases). tRNAs cope with the degeneracy of the genetic code in two manners: having more than one tRNA (with a specific anti-codon) for a particular amino acid; and 'wobble' base-pairing, i.e. permitting non-standard base-pairing at the 3rd anti-codon position. RNAcentral also lists the same sequence under 2 other names. Lineage: Bacteria; Pseudomonadati; Pseudomonadota; Alphaproteobacteria; Candidatus Pelagibacterales; Candidatus Pelagibacteraceae. The record is from RNAcentral.
GGCGGGGUAGCUCAGUUGGUUAGAGCGCAGGACUCAUAAGCCUGAGGUCAGUGGUUCGAUUCCACUUCCCGCUACCA